Long non-coding RNA from Asparagus officinalis (garden asparagus), 653 nucleotides. RefSeq lists it as uncharacterized. The transcript has 7 exons. The record is from RefSeq and is a predicted model, not a curated record. Lineage: Eukaryota; Viridiplantae; Streptophyta; Magnoliopsida; Asparagales; Asparagaceae.
UCUCCAAACGAAUCUCCUCAACUUCUUGUCGGCGGCAGAGCCCGGAUUCCUCGACGAGCUACUGCCGCUCCAGCGGGCACGUGCUUUCCUCGUGCUCGCCCAAUCCGCUUCCUCUUUGUUGGCAGCAAGAUUGAGGUGCAGUGGAAUUCGACCAGAUGAUCAUCCUAUCAAAACUGAGAUUGAGAGAUUGAGCUUGUGUGCGGGGAAAUUGGAGCGAUUUGGUAAUUGGAACUAAGGAGAAGAUAGAAUCUGCAACAGAUAUACUUAAGGAAAUUCUAAACCCAGUAGUCGCUGAAGCUGAAGAAGUUUCAUGGCCUCCAAGGGAUCCUGAAGCUCUCAUAUUGAUGGAAAAAUAAAUUGGAGAGGAAGCUCUCGGAGGCAGCAGGGAGAGAGGUGGUUCUUUGGUUCAUGGAAGAGAAGGCAGAUGACAUCACGAAGCAGAUAAAUACUUGCAAUGGUUUUUAUUGUGAUAGCUUCAAGCCAAACAAUGAAACGAGUCCUAAGAUGUGGACAGAAAAUUGGACUGGCUGUUUUAAAAGUUGGGAUUCACCAGAUCCUCAUAGGCCCGCAGAGGAUGUAGCUUUUGUUGUUGCUCGAUUUUUCCAAAGAGGAGGAAUUGUGCGUAAUGUUGUGCGAUGGAGCAUACAGAACCU